ACUCCUACGGGANGCAGCAGUGGGGAAUAUUGCACAAUGGGCGCAAGCCUGAUGCAGCAACGCCGUGUGAGUGACGAAGGUCUUAGGAUCGUAAGGCUCUUUCGCCUGUGAAGAUAAUGACGGUAGCAGGUAAAGAAACCCCGGCUAACUCCGUGCCAGCAGCCGCGGUAAU
RNAcentral lists this ribosomal RNA (172 nucleotides) under uncultured bacterium. Its description in RNAcentral is "partial 16S ribosomal RNA". It matches the Rfam family "Bacterial small subunit ribosomal RNA", at positions 335 to 524 of the family's 1533-position model. The record is from RNAcentral.